This 2489-nucleotide unclassified non-coding RNA is filed under the name Hevea brasiliensis (rubber tree). Lineage: Eukaryota; Viridiplantae; Streptophyta; Magnoliopsida; Malpighiales; Euphorbiaceae. The record is from RNAcentral.
GUUCAUUUGUUUACUUCUCUUGCUAUUUUUUUAGCCGAUGCAAUUCCUCAAUGAAAGUUGCUUGAUGGAGAAUUUUUAUAUAAAUUUAUGCGGAAUUUGUUUUGAUUAUGUUGGUCACUAUGCGUUUAGGCAGUUACUUGAUUGUUAGUUAAACUAUCAGGAACGCGAAAUGAUGUGAUGAUUUACGCUUUCUUUAGACAUCAUGAAUCGAUAGAGUUUCUCUGUUAGAAAUGAGAGUAAAGCAAACAGGAAAAGAUGAUAUUCGAAUCGGAAUUAGCUCCUGGAUUCUUAUAUUUUCCAUGGGCAUCUCCCCGUUGGAGAGAUAAGGUUAUCCAUCGGAAAUGGCUGCGUCGGGGAUAUGCCAUUUGGUCUCUUUCUUAUAUAUGAGGCAGUAUAUCCAUUUUUCAUUGAUGAGAAAAUAUAUGUUAUGAUGCAUUGUCUGGGAGGUCCAGCAACUGCAUCUUGAUUUUGCAAUAUGCCUUUUGUUUGGGAUAUAUAUUUAUAAUACAUGAAGCAGUUGUUCCCUGGUUAUUUUUCUGUUUUAUUAUGACAUAUACCUGUAUCUAUAAUGGAUCUAUAAUGAAUUAUGUGUUUUUUUUGUCAGUGUUUCUCACUGUCAAUAACUAUUUUUCACUCAGUCUCACUUAAUGUCGCCGCUGGAACUGGGUGCUGCUGUGUCUGUCUUGCUUGGUUUUGCACCACCUGCCACACUUUCAGCUGCUGGUUCAUCUAAGUUGAAUGAAGUUCUCUUGCCCAAUCCAUUUGAUAGGCCUCGCACUGUUUUCAUGCUGGAAGUCACAGGAGUCAAUGAUCUGGAUGCUCCACAAAUUGGCAUGUUCAGCAAUGCCUUUAGAAGCAAGGUUAUUCUUGAUUCGGAUAAAGCUCAAAUUGAACUGCCAGAUGAAGAAGUUUCUGUGGUUUCUUUAGAUGAAACAUCAGCAGACUGCAAUGACGAGGAACUAAGUGGUUUGGCAUCUUGGUUGGGUGGAUCCUAUGCUAUAGAUGCUUUGGAAACACAGAAUGGAAAGUUGAUCAUCCCACUGGCUAGUGGUGUCAAUAUGAAUCUUCACGUGUCAAAGAAAGCAGACCAGGAAUUCAUAGCAAGUCUCUUGGCUUUGUUCCGCAAUAGUAGAAGAGCAGUAGAAAUGCAUGAAGAUCUGUCACAGGCUACUCAAGGACCUGCAGAGUUGAUCAUGGGUCGUUUUGAUGGCGUUAAGGUGAUGACAUUUGUCGUCCCUCCUUUUGUUUGUGUUUAAAUAUGUUGUUUUGCAAGAGUGAAUUUUAUUUGACCCAUGCUGCUUCAGUUAAGACUUUAUGUGACAGAAAAGAAUCCCUGAAGUGCAUGUUAAUGAGGAAAAAUGGUGUUUGUUAUUUUUCUUGUUUGGGUUUUUAUCCUUUGGUUUCCAGAUGGGUUUUGAGCAAAUAUCAUAUAAUGACUUGGAUGAAAUAUUGGAUAAUGGGUCUCUUCAUGCUCUCUUGAGUGAUAGAGAUUUUUGACCUUGUCCAGCCUUUAAUUAGUGAAAUUAUAUUACUUUCAUAUAAAAUUUUAUACAACCUAUUGAUUCUAACAUUGCUUCACCUCAUUCUUAAAUUAUAUGAUUUGAAAUGAUUUCCAGUGAUAGUGUUUUAUUGGUUAGCCAAGUUUAGAAGAUGGAAAAGUUGUGUUCUUUUCUGCCUCAAACCUUCUUCGUAUCAGUGCAUUUAGAUACCUAUCAACUUUAUCACUUAUUUAUUUAUUUAUUGUCCUAGGCCUUGCAAGAGCAAUAUGGACCUGAAGUUGUGGAGCAAGGACUGGAGCUAUUGCUUGCUACAUUGUCUAAAAUGCUUGAUUCAUUCCAAGCAGCAUACAAAGGUCAAUUUGUUGGAGUUAUCAUCUGUAAUGAGAUACCUUCUUCAGAAUCAGGAACAAUGUUGAAUCUGAUGUUGACUUCACGGCCAUCUGCACGUUGGUUGGCAGAGAAAGAAGGAUCAAAUACAACUAAUGCAACAACCAUUGCAGAAAUAGCCUUGGUUAGAAAGACCCUAGCUUGGGUGACUGGAAUUAUUCUUCUCAUUUCUACUCUAUUAGGGAUAUACUUGCUGCUCAAUAUGCCACUCACUAGGGACACACUUCUCUACUCUAAUGUCAAACUUGACUAAAGGUUGCUCUGGCAAAUCAGGUGUCCUCUUUUAAGCAUCGGUAGCUGGUGCGUGGCCGAGAAAAUACAAGAAAGCUGGUUGAUGUGAGGUCUAAUGUACUUUGGGGCAGGGGGAAUUCAAAUGUGUAACAAUGAUAAUUAUGGAGCAAAUUUUUGGUUGGCGGUUAGAUAGAUUGUCAUAUUGUGCAUUUGUUGAAUAGUUUGUUGCCAUCAUGAUAUUAAUAUGUAUUUUUAGCUGCCUUUCAUAAUUGAACGUCAUAUAAGAUUUUGAAUAAGGAAAACUGCUGAGAUUCCUAGUUAUAUUUCUAAUUCAUGUUUGAAUAUGAGCACUUAUCUCCUCUGUGAUUAUUU